GGGGAAAAUACGUACCAGUUUUAUUCUUAUGAGAAUAAUGAAAGUUGGUCUACUACAUCAACUGUUAACAAAAGGAUAAUAAUACUAAUAAUAGAAUUGCAAAAUUGACAAAGAACCAACUAUUCAAAAGAAGUACAUGGGGAGCUCAGCUCAGUCUUCUGCUGCCUGCACUUCUGCUUGAAACUAACAUCAACACAAGAGAGUCUGUCUUUUCUUCGCGUGCGUUUCACCCCUUACCAAGUUUAACAAAUAUCCAAACAUAACACACUUUUCUUUUCUAUUAAGCUGUGGUGAUCUUUGCACUUUCUUCUUUGUGAUCACCGAAAAUACGUUGCCUGAAGUCUUGAACCAUCAUAGGCAAACCAUUUCUAAGAGCCACUUUCGGUUCCCAACCAAGUAACUCUUUAGCCUUUGAGAUAUCAGGUUUUCGCUUGUGUGGGUCAUCUUCUGUGUUUGGUUUGUGUACAAUCUGUGCAUUUGGGUCAAUGGUUUCCUGGACCACCUUAGCAAGUUCAAGCAUUGUGAAUUCACCAGGGUUUCCGAGGUUGAAGGGUCCGACAUGUUCUCCUUCCAUCAACCGCAUUAAGCCUUCAACCAGAUCUGAAACAAAUUGGAAACUUCUUGUUUGUUUCCCAUCACCAUAAACUGUCAAAGGCUCUUUCCUUAAAGCCUGAGCGACAAAGUUGCUGACAACGCGACCGUCAUCAAUACACAUACGAGGUCCAUAAGUGUUAAAGAUCCUAGCGAUUCUCACCUCAACUUCUGCACCUCUGUGAUAAUCCAUUGUCAAUGUUUCAGCUGUUCGUUUUCCCUCAUCGUAGCAACUUCGGACACCAAUAGGAUUAACAUUGCCCCAGUAUGUCUCCUUCUGUGGAUGUUCUAAAGGAUCACCGUAUACUUCGCUAGUGCUGGUUAGCAAAAACCUCGCACCGACUCUUUUAGCCAAUCCCAGCAUGUUCAAAGUACCAACUACAUUAGUCUUGAUAGUUUUGACGGGAUUAUGCUUGUAAUGAACGGGAGAAGCAGGGCAAGCGAGAUGAUAGAUCUGGUCAACUUCAAGCAAAAGUGGCUCAACAACAUCAUGUCUAAUAAGCUCAAACCUAGGGUUACCAAAAUGAUGCAUAACGUUCUCUUUCCGUCCGGUGAAGAAAUUAUCAACGACGAUCACACUAUCACCUCUCGCAAUCAAACGAUCCACUAAAUGACUACCAACAAAACCAGCACCACCAGUCACCACAAUCCUCAAAACCUUCCGCUUUAAUCCCAACGGAAUCUUCCCACCGGAAUUAAUCGACCCGAACCCGACCCGAUUAUGAUAGAUCAUCCGGUGAGCCACCUGAGACUCAGUCGACUCCGACGGUAAGUACGAAUCGUAGAUCCCGGUGUUAGCGUAGCUCGAUCCUCCGGAGGAACGAGAAGACGGUAAAAAAGCAAAAAUUAGAGAAGCGAUAGCAAUGCCUGCGAAUAGAAAAACAAUUCUCUGUUCUCGGAGCAAGUAACGAAGGGGACGAAUUACAGUAAACCAUGGUUUAUGUGGUUUGGGAGUGUAACCGUCGGUCACCGGAACUGAUUCCGGUCCACGAUAAAUCAAUUCGGAAGUCAUGAUUUAUUUAUUUUUCUUCUCUCAAAAUUGUGUUGAAAAAGAGAGAGAAAAGAAGAUAGU
This 1663-nucleotide unclassified non-coding RNA is filed under the name Hevea brasiliensis (rubber tree). Lineage: Eukaryota; Viridiplantae; Streptophyta; Magnoliopsida; Malpighiales; Euphorbiaceae. The record is from RNAcentral.